Molecule: long non-coding RNA, 4602 nt
Organism: Cygnus olor (mute swan)
Lineage: Eukaryota; Metazoa; Chordata; Aves; Anseriformes; Anatidae
Exons: 3
Source: RefSeq, a predicted model, not a curated record
GGGAUAAAGUUGUUGGUGGCGUUUUCUGUUUUUGUUUUUUCUAUGUGCCAAAAGAUGUUUGUGGCUGGUGGCUGAGCUCGGUGCAGAUGCCUACGCUGACUUGCUUGGCUCUUCCCUGCACAGCACUGCAGCAGAAGCAAGCAUCUGCGGGAAGGACUGAUGUCACCUCUCCUGAAUUCUUGACACCCCAAAAUGUGCAGACUGUGGCUCUCCAGGUGAGCAGGUACACGUGUUUUUCUCUGGGCGAUCAGCAAUCCAUCAGGAAAUUGGGAGUGGGAGGUGUGCAGGCAGGCUGAUUCUGCAAAGCUGCCUGCUAAAGCCCUGAUUACGGUUAUCAAGUGAAGAAGCAGUCCAGUUUAAGCUGCUAAGGUUUCUGACGAGCAACAGGUUAUAACGAGGGAAGGCAGAGGGAUGUGUGAAUGAGCGCCUGCAGACUCUGGUAAAGAGUGGAUUACACCGAAGGUACGUUCCAGGGAAGGGACUGCAUAUUUCAGAGCAAGGCAGCAAAUGGGCUUAGAAAUAAUCUGAAUUUUACCCCUGCCCCCUCCCAUUCCAACCCAGACAGAGUGUGGGCAGCAGAAAUUUACUGGGGGAUAAAGCUAAUGCAGGGACUUGUAAUGUGCCUGUGGGCAUUAUAAGUGCCCAGGGCAGCUCUUUCCCUGGGGUGAAUGUGUGGCAGUUUCCCCUGAGGCCGCUGGCUGAGCCACCACACAUCUAUAGCAAGGCAAAGCUGGGUGGGUUUGGGGUGGGAUGACUUCAGUCACCAUGACUUCAGUCCAAAUCCCACGUAGCUGGAGGUGCCUGUCCCAGCAACUGCAGUCUAGGAAUUGAUUUGGUUUAUGGCACUGUGAAGUCUCCAAAUGGGUCAAAAUCCAGGAAUAAGGCUAAUUUUUUGUUGUUCUUCUUACAUCAUGCAAGUGAGCUUAGCAAUGUCAAGAUACACCCUUUGCAACCAGAGGUAAAGCAGUGCCCUUUGCUGCCAGAGGUCUGUGCGGGGCUUGUGCCCUCCUGAAGCAGAGGAGGGAUGUGGCAUCCCUCCCUCUCUGCCAAGCCUUUGAGCAAGCACUGAUACAUUUGUAAAGAGCGUGUGAUAAGCUCUAGAAAUGCCACUUUGAAAUCAAACCCAGAGAAGUGUGAACUGCCUCAGCCAAAAGUAUUUCACCUUGGUCACUCGAUAGGGAAGGAGGAAUUUCCAACAACAGGAAGAAAACCAAGGUGACCUGGCCCACCAUGAAGCUCCGGUGGGGAAGGAGCCCUUCUGCUCCCUGCAGAGCCUCUGCUGCUGCCUUGGCCAGUGGUACAUCUCCCCUUCUGAUGGGAAGGGUGGCUCUGAGCAGGCGGCAGACCUCAGGGUGCAUCAGAAGUAUCCAUGACAAGGCAUGGGGUGCUGCAGCUGUCGAUAGCUCAGCCUGCUGCUGGUCCCUGCACUGAGCAUCAUUGUGCUGCUUGCUUGCGGUUGAGAAAUGGCCCCAUACAAACUGUCAGAAGCACACUGUCAGAAGCAACAUCCUCCUGAACUGGAUGGGAAUUUCAGCUCUGAUACGACUCUGUCUGUUGCUGGCAUUGUGUGCGGACUGUCACAGCCCUGAGAAGCGGGGCUUUAAUACACUCCACGCAUGGUGUCACCCUACUGGAAAGAGGCUCGUCAGAACACGGCAUGUCACUUGUCACGUCACGGGGAGCAGAUGAAACCCUAUUAUCAGUACACCGUCUACAGGCUUCCGCUGCAUCAGAAAGCAGCUCGUCAGUGCAGUGUGUACAAAGGUGUCACCCGUUUCUGUUGAGCAGCACGCGAGUGGUGGGCACUGUGGGAUUAGCAUGAGAAGUAGGAGCAGAGGGUGAGGGAGCAGCUUGGGGCUUUGCUGGGGGCAUCCUACAUAUAAGGGGGCAGGCAGGGAUGGAGGGGUCACCCCAAGACCAGGGUCUGGUUUGAUUCUCUUGUGCCAGAUUGGAGGGUGCCAAGCCCAAACAAGCUGCUUGGUGGAGGCUGAAGGAGGCCAGAGACAUGCCAAGCACCUAUGGGCGAUACACUGCUUGAUUGGGUUGUGAUGUUGCUCCUGCAUAUAGGAUUUGGCCUGUGUCAUGCAGAGCUCAUGGUCUGGGGUCCAGUACCUGCUGCUUGGUCCAGUGCUGAUACCCAAAUCCUCACUCUGAGAGCAGGCACAGCGUCACUCCAUGGACCAAGCUCUGCCUGAUUCCUGCCGCCCACCCUCCACGGACCUUUCCCUUCCUGGGUCCCCACUGCCCCCAGCGCCACUCGGCUCAUUUCUCUCACGGCGUACACUAAUCCUCUCUCCCUCUGAUAGUUCCUUUCCCCGAAGCAGCCUCGGAAACCCAGGUGCUGCCCCCCCGCUCCCUCCCCAGCCCACAGAAAAGAGAUGGCGAACGGCUUUCUCUUGAUUGUGUCGAUGGGAGAUGAUUUUCAAGGUGAAAUUUCUAGUUCAGUUGAGUCACUUUCAUUCAAGGCGAUGAGCAAAAUGUCACCCCCACACUGAACCACACUCAAUGCGCCGCUCUCCUAUUGCAUUUAAAUUUACUCCACUUUUCCUUUCUGACACCUGUUUAAAUCAAUAUCUUCCUCUCCAGGUCGUGGGCAGAAUGUGCCUGGUCUCUCCGCACAGCGCUUCUCAAAUCCACUAAAAUCAACACAAUAAUUGAAAUAUUUUCAAGCUGAUUACACCGCUGCCUGAGGCUAGGCUGGUUGCUAAGGCUGUGGGGACAAGCAGAUGAAGAGAGGAAGAACUGUCUGUUCCAUUAGAGGAUCUCUCAGCUUGGCUAAACACUCUCUAUUUACUCCAAACACAGCAUGAUGGGGAGCUACAAGGAUCUAAUAGCCUUGAAAAUGUAGAAUUGCACCAAUUACAGUUCCCAUCCAGCCCACGGCUCACAAGACACCAGCUGAAAUCACGGGGCCGAAUCCUGCUCCUGGAUCCACGGAGUGCAAAUCUGGAGGGUUUCCAUCCUGCGGAAGGAUUUCUCUGAAUUUCUCCUGGCCGCAUGAGAGCAGAGCCCCACUCCCCAGCACAGAGGAGCUCCGGCGUGUGCAGGGCAGGUUGCUGGUGGAGCAGGAGCGCCUGAUGCGUUAUUAAUAGGAAAGCAGUAUGCGGGGCAAAUCCGUGCACCGCGGAUGUUUUCAGGAGCUUCAGCUCCUCCCGGGCUGCCAUUAUUCUCUUGCCCUCACCCAGGAGCUGGUUGUGCUGUUAUCGCCGUGGGUCCUCCUUCCAAAAAAACUCAGAAAUUACCGUAACCGGGAAAUCUGUCACAACCACACAGCCAGGGCCAGAGGUGCAAGCAGCUUUUUGGCUGCUUGGGCUGGAAAACAACCAGCAGUCCGCGAUGUUCCUGAAGCGUGAGGGGAGGAGAUGUGGCAUGAAGCCUUUCUGCACCCCAAAACCUUCCACUGGUCCUCCCGACUGCACUCGGCUUCCCCUGCGCUGCCCAGCAUCCUGCUUUUUAGGGAAUCUGAGGCACAAAAGGUUAGUCCAGCUGGUUGCCUGAGAUCGUGCAGCGUCCCAUCCAGACACCUUUAUCCCCCUGCUGGAUGUAGCAUUACCUGGGGGAGACACAUACAGCAGAGCCCUGGCUCCUAAUCCACUGCAACAAGCCCGUCUUCCUUUCUUACUGAACCAAUUUCAGGUGUGAUCCAUAAGGGACAGACAAAAUCCCUAUGUAAAUGUUGUAAACCCUGUAGUCACAGCUCAUGCAUUGGCAGCAUCUCCUCUGCCACAUUGCUUUGUCCCUGGGCUGGAAAUAGGGACCGAAGCACUGCGAAGUGAGGGCUGUCAAGAGCUUGAGAGAAGUCGAUGAGAGAGGAGCAUCAAAAUCCUCAUUUCAAAUGAGGAGCUGGUGACGCACGUCUUCAUUAGCACAAAUGAGCCAGUCCAGGCUGGGCCCUGCAUGGCCUGUGGAGAGCAUCCCUGCCCUAAACACGCUCAGCUCAACUUUUCCCUCCGAGCUGUGCCAGCCACAGUGGGGCUUUGUAGGGUUUUCGGUCAAUGUACAGAAUCACACAGGGCACGGAGGUGUAGGAUGAGCAGGAAACCCUUGUAAACCUGGAGGGCAUGCUUCUUCCAGCCUGGCUUUCUGCUCAUGUCCUUGUUCCCCAAAGUCUGCAGGCAGGAUUCCCCUGCAGGACAUCCACACCCGUGCUGCGCGUUUAGUGGGGAACGCCUGCAGCAUUAAGAGCGCUGCGACUGAAAUGAUUAAUUGUUUAAUAUAUUGCAAGCUGGUUACCCCUCCUGGAUCUGCCAGGUAACAAAUGGAGUCGACGGAGAUCUCACAGUGGCGAGCUCCUUGUUUGAGGUUUAGCCAGCAAGCAUCGUUGCUUUGAGGUUAGAAAUAGGGCCGGGGCAGGAUGCAGGGCUUCGCUGUGCUGCUGUGGCUGGGAGCAGAGCCCAGAGGGCAGAUGAGGGCAGAUGCUUCCUCAGAGCUUUUAUGUGUUCUUAUAGUAUUUGCGAGGACCUGAAAUCAAGCCAGAAGUGUGUGCGUAGACCAACACAUUCUGUAUCUGAAACACCACGAUCACGCUCAGGGGAUACGAUGUGGUGUUUCAUUUGCACGCAGAACUUACUUAAAAAUCCAUAUUAAGUAUAAUUUCUAUUU